RNAcentral lists this ribosomal RNA (845 nucleotides) under bacterium enrichment culture clone Dan60S_39E. Its description in RNAcentral is "bacterial SSU rRNA". It matches the Rfam family "Bacterial small subunit ribosomal RNA", at positions 8 to 838 of the family's 1533-position model. The record is from RNAcentral.
AGAGUUUGAUUCUGGCUCAGAAUGAACGCUGGCGGCGUGCCUAACACAUGCAAGUCGCACGAGAAAGGCUGGGUUUCGGCUUGGCCGAGUAAAGUGGCGCACGGGUGAGUAACGCGUGGGUGACCUACCCUCGAAUCUGGGAUAACCUCGCGAAAGCGGGGCUAAUACCGGAUACGUCCCUUCGGGGAGAAAGCCGGCCUCUCGAAGAAGCUGGUGUUCGGGGAUGGGCCCGCGUCCUAUCAGCUAGUUGGUAGGGUAACGGCCUACCAAGGCGACGACGGGUAGCUGGUCUGAGAGGAUGAUCAGCCACACUGGCACUGGAACACGGGCCAGACUCCUACGGGAGGCAGCAGUGAGGAAUUUUGCGCAAUGGGAGCAAUCCUGACGCAGCAACGCCGCGUGGGUGAAGAAGGCCUUCGGGUCGUAAAGCCCUGUCAGGAGGGAAGAACCUCGCUGGGGCGAAUAGCCUUGGCGACUGACGGUACCUCCAGAGGAAGCACCGGCUAACUCCGUGCCAGCAGCCGCGGUAAUACGGAGGGUGCGAGCGUUAUUCGGAAUUACUGGGCGUAAAGCGCGUGUAGGCGGCAGGGCAAGUCUGGUGUGAAAGCCCGGGGCUCAACCCCGGAAGUGCAUUGGAAACUGCUCUGCUUGAGUACCGGAGAGGAAGGGGGAAUUCCCGGUGUAGCGGUGAAAUGCGUAGAUAUCGGGAGGAAUACCAGUGGCGAAGGCGCCCUUCUGGACGGUUACUGACGCUGAGACGCGAAAGCGUGGGGAGCAAACAGGAUUAAAUACCCCGGUAGUCCACGCCCUAAACGAUGGGCACUAGGUGUAGCGGGAAUGACCCC